AGCGGCGGACGGGUGAGUAACGCGUGGGUAACCUGCCUCAUACAGGGGGAUAACAGUUAGAAAUGACUGCUAAUACCGCAUAAGACCACAGCACCGCAUGGUGCGGGGGUAAAAACUCCGGUGGUAUGAGAUGGACCCGCGUCUGAUUAGGUAGUUGGUGAGGUAACGGCCCACCAAGCCGACGAUCAGUAGCCGACCUGAGAGGGUGACCGGCCACAUUGGGACUGAGACACGGCCCAA
This 240-nucleotide ribosomal RNA is filed under the name uncultured bacterium. RNAcentral's name for it is "partial 16S ribosomal RNA". It matches the Rfam family "Bacterial small subunit ribosomal RNA", at positions 94 to 334 of the family's 1533-position model. The record is from RNAcentral.